Molecule: long non-coding RNA, 1091 nt
Organism: Acanthopagrus latus (yellowfin seabream)
Lineage: Eukaryota; Metazoa; Chordata; Actinopteri; Spariformes; Sparidae
Exons: 4
Source: RefSeq, a predicted model, not a curated record
UCGCUACCUUUGGCUGGAGCUACUAGCUGCAUUUAGCAGUUAGCCACGCAGCUGGUGGCCCUGUGAGCUGAAAGGAGAGGAGUGAGAGUCCGGCACCAGCAGUGUGAGAAACUGAGGAUUCAUUUCAACAGAACUAGAGUUUCAUCCAAAGUACGAUCAGGCAGAUCCAAAGUGCCCACCCCAUCAGAACAUCGGCUGGUGUUGUGACAUCAUCAUCAACGUGAGUGUGGAUACCUGCUCUUUCUCCCAACAACACUGAAGGUUGAAGGACUGAUCUAGGCAGAGACUGCGAGGCCUGCCUCUGUGCCUUUCAGCUUGAUCUGAGCAGAAGUGAUCCCGGAGGGUGGAGGUUGGGUAAAAUCCUCAGUCACAGCAGUUCAGUCUUGAAUCUGGGACGUCAAGUCAGGAUAGCUGAAGAGUGUGACAGGAAACGGUAAGAGAGGGGGCGUGACACGCAGCAAACAGACCCGGGCCGGGAGUCGAACCCGGGGCCGCUGCAGAGCCUCGGCACAUGGGUCGCACACGCUACCAACCGAGCUAAGCGGCGUCCACGUCUGUAUCUUCUGCCAGAGGGCAGCAGGGUGAACAGACUGUGGCUGGGAUGGCUGUUGUUGUGUCCUUUGGGCUCUUUGCAGACACUUUGCUGACGCACCUACACUAUCCCCAAGAAGUGAAGAGGGUUAGACAUCCACACACUUCACCAUGAAGUUGUCUGGAUGUCUGGGAGCACAUUACUGCAUGCAUAGUAUGAACAGCAGGGGGCUGAGCACACAGCCCUGGGGGACUCCGGUGAUGACAACGACUGAACUAAGAACUAAUAGAACUAAGUACUAAGUUGUAUUUGAGCCCACAGUGCGUAGUGUUCAUGAGAUUGUAUUGAAUGCUGAGCUGAAGUCAACACAGAGUAUUCUGAUGUCGUUUUUCAGGCUCGCAUUACAUGUGUGCAGCCAUUUUUCUUUCUUUGUGGCAAUGCAUGUUUAAGAUGACUCACUGACUUUGGAAAUAGUUUGUCAGGCUUGAGAAAUAGAACAACCACAAUUUGGUCAUUGCUCUUUGAAAAAGCAUACUUGCAUUAUUACACCAUUGUAUUC